GGGAGGUAUCCCUGCCCUACCCGCGUCGUUUCCCUGGGGAAACGUUCCACCCCUCCAGGGGUCAGGGAGAGAAGCCACGGCUCGAGCGAGACCGCGAGCGCAGCGACCGAAAGGCGACGACAGCCAAGAUCCAGUCCUUCGCCUCCGAGUUUCUCCGGCAGCGACCGGAGAGACGGACCGCCCCCUCCCUCCGGUGCUCUGCCUGCAUGCUCCGCCCACCAGCGACCGCGACGGCCGUGGUCGUCACCCUCCUCCUUCCCCAGAUCUACCCUCCCCCUCGAAGUUCCUGCCCCUCCGGUGACGGCAACGGCGACGGUUCCACGGUCAACUUCCACCUACUUCCACCAAGAGGCUGUCUAGGUGCUGUUUUGGUGUUUCCCGUGGUGCACAUGUGUGCUGCCUUUCCUACAGUGCUCUGAACCUCUGACAUUAGCAAAUGAUUUGCUUUAUCCGAAAAUGCUAGGUGGUGGCGGCGGCAUUGUGUUCAGUGGCUAAGUGCAUUUUGGUUCGUUGGUCAUUGAAAAUAUUUCACCUGAUGAAAGUUAGACGGCAUUGACUCGCAGACCUUGAUUAAGCAAGAAACACAACGCAUGGAUAGUACUCCCAGCUUGCCAAGUGCCAAUUAGUAACAGCAAACUUACUCAUCAGGAAAGUAACUUGUUACAACUCCUUAUGGACUCCUACUAGUAAUUUUGUAUGUGUUGCUGAAUUUGCCGGGACACUCAAACACCUUGAUAUUUCUUUACUUUCUUUUCUUUGUUGCUUCAGUUAGAAUAUGCUACCAUUCAAGUGACCUUCUAGCAAUCUGGUUGACAAAUGACAAACCUUUUUAGUUUCGACAUCGGUUUCACGGGAUGACACACUAGAGUAAAGACUAGCUACCUGCUAGGACGACAGUUUUACACCGAUGUUAAUUUUCCUUUCUUGCGAAUAAUUGCAGGGUCUUGCUUAAGCAAGAGAAAGUACUGCCAAGUAUCAACUAGCUAGUUACAGAUUCACUCAUCAGGGAAGUAACUUGUAACAGCAGUGGAGUGCGGGCAUGUGCCAUAUAUCUAUUAGUAAUUUAGUACUUUCAUCGUGCUUGUGCUAGCUCCAGGUUUGAAUUUUCCUUAGCACACUAUUUUUAGAAGUGAUGCUUACUGUUGGUUAGGGUCUUCUGAAGAACAAUAACAAUUUUUUAUAUUUGUUGCACAAGUUCUACUAUGCAUUCAUUUACACUUACGACACUGCCGGAGAAUACAUUGUUUGUGAAUUGUUUGUUAGACUGCCUUACAUCCUUUUAUAGAUAGACGCCUUUAAUUCUCUGCACUAAAAAGUCCAUGUUUGUUUUGUCCUUACUUUCCCCAUUAUACAUUUUUUGUCCCCAUUUUUACUAAUUUUGGAAUUAUAUAUUGACGGGAAGCUUGACAAUAAUGAUCUAUUGCUUAUCAUCUUCCUUUCUUCUGUCCUUACUUAUUUAGUAAUUAUUACUGAAAUGUAUGACACAAUAACCAGAAAUAGAAGUUAGUAUUCUGGCUCUUAUCUUUUUUUCUCAACAAGUUCUGCUGAUUGUUAUUAAAAAUCUAAGCUAUAGUCAUCAUGUGCUCAUGUAAUUGUUACAAUUCUCAGUUGGAUACAUGGUGCUAACUUCCUUUUUUUGUAGUUCAACGAACAUCGAGUUGUGGUACCUGAUGUAGAUGCGGAGUGGAGAAAAGACCUGAGUAGGACUAGUGAUUUUCACCUUGCAGCCCAUCCUAUUCGAAAGUGUCUAUGCCUCGGACAUGACCAUUUGAUAAUUCAGAAUUUUUGUAGUGAACAAACUUAAACAAUGAUGCAUCAAUGCCAAUUGUAUUGAUUGAUUUUAUGUUGGAACACGAAAAAAGGUUUAGCUCACCGCUUAAUCGGAAUGAAAUGUGGACCGAUGGGUAUUUGAACCUUGGUGAAGUGAUGGAUAUCAGUUGUAUUUUUUUAAUAAAAUUAUAGUUUACAUGAA
Molecule: long non-coding RNA, 1972 nt
Organism: Triticum dicoccoides
Lineage: Eukaryota; Viridiplantae; Streptophyta; Magnoliopsida; Poales; Poaceae
Exons: 4
Source: RefSeq, a predicted model, not a curated record